This 253-nucleotide ribosomal RNA is filed under the name uncultured bacterium. RNAcentral describes it as "partial 16S ribosomal RNA". It matches the Rfam family "Bacterial small subunit ribosomal RNA", at positions 524 to 776 of the family's 1533-position model. The record is from RNAcentral.
UACGGAGGGAGCUAGCGUUGUUCGGAAUUACUGGGCGUAAAGCGCACGUAGGCGGCUUUGUAAGUUAGAGGUGAAAGCCCGGGGCUCAACUCCGGAACUGCCUUUAAGACUGCAUCGCUUGAAUCCAGGAGAGGUGAGUGGAAUUCCGAGUGUAGCGGUGAAAUGCGUAGAUAUCUGGAGGAACACCGGUGGCGAAGGCGGCAUCCUGGACCGACACUGACGCUGAGGCGCGAAAGCGUGGGGAGCAAACAGG